CCUACGGGAGGCAGCAGUGAGGAAUAUUGGUCAAUGGCCGUAAGGCUGAACCAGCCAAGUCGCGUGAAGGAAGAAGGAUCUAUGGUUUGCAAACUUCUUUUAUAGGGGAAUAAAGUUAUCCACGUGUGCAUUUUUGCAUGUACCCUAUGAAUAAGCAUCGGCUAACUCCGUGCCAGCAGCCGCGGUAAUACGGAGGAUUCGAGCGUUAUCCGGAUUUAUUGGGUUUAAAGGGUGCGUAGGUGGUUUUUUAAGUCAGCGGUGAAAGUUUGUGGCUCAACCAUAAAAUUGCCGUUGAAACUGGAAGACUUGAGUGUGUUUGAGGUAGGCGGAAUGCGUGGUGUAGCGGUGAAAUGCAUAGAUAUCACGCAGAACUCCGAUUGCGAAGGCAGCUUACUAAGCCAUAACUGACACUGAAGCACGAAAGCGUGGGGAUCAAACAGGAUUAGAUACCCGUGUAGUC
This 460-nucleotide ribosomal RNA is filed under the name uncultured bacterium. RNAcentral's name for it is "partial 16S ribosomal RNA". It matches the Rfam family "Bacterial small subunit ribosomal RNA", at positions 338 to 795 of the family's 1533-position model. The record is from RNAcentral.